UUUGGUUGCAUGAUCGGGCAAGGAAAUAUUUAUAGCUGUAAGAUAGGCAUGCGUCCCAUUAGCUGGUUGGUGAGGUAACGGCUCACCAAGGCAACGAUGGGUAGGGGAACUGAGAGGUUUAUCCCCCACACUGGUACUGAGACACGGACCAGACUCCUACGGGAGGCAGCAGUGAGGAAUAUUGGUCAAUGGGCGAGAGCCUGAACCAGCCAAGUCGCGUGAAGGAAGACUGUCCUAAGGAUUGUAAACUUCUUUUAUACGGGAAUAACGGGCGAUACGUGUAUUGCUGUGAAUGUACCGUAAGAAUA
Molecule: ribosomal RNA, 308 nt
Filed under: Porphyromonas gulae
Lineage: Bacteria; Pseudomonadati; Bacteroidota; Bacteroidia; Bacteroidales; Porphyromonadaceae
Description: bacterial SSU rRNA
Rfam family: Bacterial small subunit ribosomal RNA
Source: RNAcentral